CGGUAAUUCCAGCUCCAAUAGCGUAUACUAUAGUUGUUGCAGUUAAAAAGCUCGUAGUUGGAUUUCUGCGGGGACGGAGCGGCCGGACGCAACUUGCGUCUCGAGCUAGCGCUUUCCCCGCAUCCUGCCGCGAACCGUGCUACCACUAGCUUGGUGGCGCUGGGGAUCGGCUCGAUUACUUUGAGAAAAAUAGAGUGUUCAAAGCAGGCCACACGCCUUGAAUAAGUUAGCAUGGAAUAAUGACUAAGGACUUUGGUUCUUUUCGUUGGUGUUCGGGACUGAAGUAAUGAUUGAUAGGGACAGUUGGGGCGGUCUGUAUUCCAAAGCGAGAGGUGAAAUUCUUAGACCUUCGGAAGACAAACAGCUGCGAAAGCGUUCCGCAAGGAUGUUCCCUUUGAUCAAGAACGAAAGUUGGGGGAUCGAAGACGAUCAGAUACCGUCGUAGUCUCAACUAUAAACUAUACCAGCUAGGGAUCGGCCAACGUUUAAUUAUUCGACUUGGUCGGCACCUUAUGAGAAAUCAAAGCAUCUGGGUUCCGGGGGGAGUAUGGUCGCAAGGCUGAAACUUAAAGGAAUUGACGGAAGGGCACCACCAGGCGUGGAGCCUGUGGCUUAAUUUGACUCAACACGGGAAAACUUACCAGGUCCAGACAUAGGAAGGAUUGACAGAUUGAUAGCUCUUUCUUGAUUCUGUGGGUGGUGGUGCAUGGCCGUUUUUAGUCGGUGAAGUGAUUUGUCUGCUUAAUUGCGUUAACGGACGAGACCCCAGCCUGCUAAAUAGCGCGGCCGAGCUUUGCUCGGUGCGAGCUUCUUAGAGGGACCAUGAUGCGCGAUAGCACAAGGAAGUUUGGGGCAACAACAGGUCUGUGAUGCCCUUAGAUGUUCUGGGCCGCACACGGGCUACACUGGCGCCUGCAACGAGCAUAUCAGCUGGCCCGAGAGGGUCUUGGCUAAUCUUUGGAACCGGCGCCGUGCUUGGGAUUGACCAUUGCAAUUGUUGGUCAUGCAACGAGGAAUGCCUUGUAAACGCGAGUCAUCAGCUCGCAUUGAAUACGUCCCUGCCCUUUGUACACACCGCCCGUCGCUCCUACCGAUGAAUGUUCCGAUGAAAUUUUCGGAGAGCGCCAGAGAACGGGGCUCUGCCUUGCAGAUCUGGAGGCUCAAAGUCACUUAAAUCUGAACAUUUCGAGGAAGGAGAAGUCGUAACAAGGUAACC
Molecule: ribosomal RNA, 1216 nt
Filed under: uncultured Rhizaria
Lineage: Eukaryota
Description: SSU rRNA
Rfam family: Eukaryotic small subunit ribosomal RNA
Source: RNAcentral